CUGGUCUUGCUUCAGUUCGGUCUUCUCUGAUUUCUCCUGCAACCGCUGGAGGACUUCAACUGUUGUACUAGAUGAUGAUGUCUCUGCAUAGCUCUUCAAUCUACGCCUCUUCGCACUAUCCCUACCCUCAGGCCGUGUUGUGUCUAUAUUCUCAUUCCCAGAUUCUGCAUGGCCGGCUACAGUAUGGCCUUGAGUUGAAGGAGGUUCCAUUCGAUCAGGUGAUGUAGAGUUGUUUAGCUCAAGAAACUUAUUGUUCCAUUUGGCCUCGUUGCGAAGUAGUUUCCAACAAUGCAUGAAGGUAAAAGGUUAUGUCUUCUCGAUAAUAUGAGUGAAAGUAUACCCGAUCCUGCUCAUUUUUUCCGCUCUCAUUUAGCCUAUCAACAGCUGCUUUGUGCCCACAGAACUUGUUUAUCGCUUUCUGAAUCAAUGCCCACCUGUGCUGAAUAGCAAUCUGGCUACGGUUGGACCCUUCAGGUUUGUGCUCAUUGAAAUAAUCACGCAUCCUCUUGUAAUAACCACUUGAAGUUUGAUUCACACCUGCAUGGUCUUUGCUAAUAUUCAGAAAUGCUGAACACACCACCAUGUCCUCCUCUUUGGUGAAUGCAAUUCCUCUCCUGGACACCUUCUUCUU
This 631-nucleotide small RNA is filed under the name Oryza sativa Japonica Group (Japanese rice). Its description in RNAcentral is "sRNA Os06g0660625". Lineage: Eukaryota; Viridiplantae; Streptophyta; Magnoliopsida; Poales; Poaceae. The record is from RNAcentral.